This 597-nucleotide ribosomal RNA is filed under the name uncultured bacterium. RNAcentral's name for it is "bacterial SSU rRNA". It matches the Rfam family "Bacterial small subunit ribosomal RNA", at positions 803 to 1503 of the family's 1533-position model. The record is from RNAcentral.
UAAACGAUGUCGACUUGGAGGUUGUGGCUUCCGGAGCUAACGCGUUAAGUCGACCGCCUGGGGAGUACGGCCGCAAGGUUAAACUCAAAUGAAUUGACGGGGGCCCGCACAAGCGGUGGGCAGUGGUUUAAUUCGAUGCAACGCGAAGAACUUACCUGGUCUUGACAUCCAGGUGCUGCAUGGCUGUCGUCAGCUCGUGUUGUGAAAUGUUGGGUUAAGUCCCGCAACGAGCGCAACCCUUAUCCUUUGUUGCAACUCAAAGGAGACUGCCAGUGAUAAACUGGAGGAAGGUGGGGAUGACGUCAAGUCAUCAUGGCCCUUACGACCAGGGCUACACACGUGCUACAAUGGCGCAUACAAAGAGAAGCGACCUCGCGAGAGCAAGCGGACCUCAUAAAGUGCGUCGUAGUCCGGAUUGGAGUCUGCAACUCGACUCCAUGAAGUCGGAAUCGCUAGUAAUCGUGGAUCAGAUGCCACGGUGAAUACGUUCCCGGGCCUUGUACACACCGCCCGUCACACCAUGGGAGUGGGUUGCAAAAGAAGUAGGUUACCACUUUGUGAUUCAUGACUGGGGUGAAGUCGUAACAAGGUAACCGA